Molecule: non-coding RNA, 1080 nt
Organism: Arachis ipaensis
Lineage: Eukaryota; Viridiplantae; Streptophyta; Magnoliopsida; Fabales; Fabaceae
Source: RefSeq, a predicted model, not a curated record
UUUUCAUCUUCUUCUCUCCUCUUCCUAUCCUCUCUCUCUGUCUCUCUCCGCUCCUCGAUUUCUCUCAUCUGUCUCUGCGUCGCACGCAAGACGCCAUCGUUUUGCUGGGAUAACCUAGUCAAUUACCCAACCCAGCAACCUUAGCUCCACACAACGGCUAAACGCGAACCCAUCUCUCCCAUCACCCUCGAGCUCCUCCUUCCUCUCUCCGUCAUCGAUCUCACUCCCUCACCUCCGUCCAUCUCCCACCGCCGUCGCCGAAACGAGCUUCGAAGCCACCGUCAUUAUCGUGCAGCUUUGUUCCACCAUCAUGCAGCUACUGUUUCAGCUUUGAAAGCACCAUCACGCAGCUCGAUUCCAUCGUCGCCGGGCUCGCCUCCUUUUUCCGUCGAGCAGCUCUGUUCCAUCAUCGCCGACGCUAUCUCUGUUCCACCUGUCAUUCCUUCGAUCGUGCCCUUGUCCCCCUCUUGCUCAGGAUCUGCUCUGCUCUGUUCUAGGGCUUCUAGCUUUUAGGCUGUGUUUGAUGAGGAUGAGGAAGAUAAAUACAAGGAAAGGAAUCCGAGAAAUAGUUUGAAGAGAAAAGAGAGUAGUGGUGGAGGAAACUCAACCUUGGAAGAAUUGAUAAGGGAAGAGGAGAAGAAAAAGGAGAAAAUCAACAGGAGGCUAUUGAUUGCGUGAGGAAAUCAUUGUUAAGGUUAUGAGCAAGGCCUUGGCAGAGAAGGGGUAUGGAGUAUUUCUUUAACAAUGGAGUAAUAUGGAGAGAUAUGGAGAGAUAAAAGACGUAUUUUUGGAUGGUACGCCUUGCUGGCAACCUGGCAUGUGACCUGGAGGUCACAGGAGUUGCGGAAUUAGCCUUUUGAACAAACAAGGUGGGGCUGGCAUCUGGGUCAAAAGUUUCCCUGUACCCUGUGCAUGAUGGCUAACGGGGACUUCAUAUCUCCAGGCGAACAAUCUCUCAGUCAUGCCCAUUUUGCCGAGACAGUCUGAAGAGGGUAAACUCUGGCGAUCUCUGGGUUUUCACCGACAGGAGAGACAUAGUAGAUAUGGCAACAGUAACAAGGGAGAAUCUUAGAAGGCUUU